AGUUUUGCAUUGGCGAGGCUUCUGGCAAACGUGCCAGGUGGUCAUCUUUGCCAUUUGGACCAACAUAUGGCAGCUGGUUUGGGGAUUCCUCUGUUGUCACCCAGCUGUGGCUUGAGAUACAAAACUGGUUCGCUGUGAUGAGAUACCAAGUCUGGGUGAUGACCACAUACAUCCCAUUGGCAGCCGGAAGAAGCCGCCUACUGCUAUCCUGUCCCUCAGCAUCAAGGAUUCAAAGAUGACCUCAGUAAAAUUUCUGUGUCCUGCUAUAGGGUGCUGUAUUCACCAAGCCAUCUCUCCAGACUCUGAGGCUCCCCUUAAGCACCAAAGUCUGAGGAGUGCUGAUGGCUGGAGGCCCUGGAAGAUUCACUGCGUGGCGGAAAGCUGCUCUUCAUGGAAAGAAAGGCCGUGGAACAGGAUGUGGGCUCUUCCAUCUUAGUUGGCAUGGGACAGUCACAGAGGCUUCCUUGGCUAUUCUGUUCCCUGUGGGGAAUGGGUAGAUGCAGUGUUACUCUAAUGCAGCUGGCAGAGGAGGGUCUGCCGGUCUGUUUCUGGAAACUCACACUUAUUUCUUUAAAGAGUCCACGAGACUGUGAGCUCACAAGUGGAACGCAAGUGCGGCAGGCACCCACAGAAGUCUGGGAAGUGUUGCAUGCCACACCAGGAGAGCUUGAACAUUCACCAGCAGCACCCUCAAGGCUCCCCUGGGCAUGGCUGAGAAGCUGUGGGAGGAUCUGCUAGGAGUUCCUUUGAGUCCUGUUGGUAUUCAGCACUUGGAGACUGCUGCUGUCUGGCUGCCGCCUCCUGGCCAGGUGCCUGGAGGAACACGCCUUGGCUAACAGCCUCAGCCACAGCUCUUUACUAUCUCUGUUCCCAGACAGGACCUCUUCAAGUGAAUUUAGAGCUGGGAACACAGAGAUCAAGACAAGAAGUCGGCAAGUGAUGGACUAUGAAUCCAGGAUGCAGGUUGACACCCACUGAGGUCUAAGGCACUGGGUGGACCAGGAUUUGGCUACAACUUCACCAUAUCUCAUUUGGAAGGGGGCUUCAUCCCAGAUGAAAGGAUGUCUCAAUUAACGUAUAUUUCCUGUUAACGCCACCUCAUUUAUCAGAAAGGCGAGAACACCUUUCUACUACGUGUUUUCCUUCUAAAUACUUGUGUCUCAAAGAAAGUCUAUUCAUUUAAAUGUGACAUUCUUAAAAUAAGCAAUAAAUUGA
Peromyscus californicus insignis is the source of this 1215-nucleotide long non-coding RNA. RefSeq lists it as uncharacterized. The transcript is spliced from 3 exons. The record is from RefSeq and is a predicted model, not a curated record. NCBI's taxonomy places the organism in Eukaryota, Metazoa, Chordata, Mammalia, Rodentia, Cricetidae.